ACCCGCUGAACUUAAGCAUAUCAAUAAGCGGAGGAAAAGAAACCAACAGGGAUUGUCUUAGUAACGGCGAGUGAAGCGACAAAAGCUCAAAUUUGAAAUCUGGCACCUUCGGUGUCCGAGUUGUAAUUUGAAGAAGGUAACUUUGGAGUUGGCUCUUGUCUAUGUUCCUUGGAACAGGACGUCACAGAGGGUGAGAAUCCCGUGCGAUGAGAUGUCCAACUCUAUGUAAAGUGCUUUCGAAGAGUCGAGUUGUUUGGGAAUGCAGCUCUAAGUGGGUGGUAAAUUCCAUCUAAAGCUAAAUAUUGGCGAGAGACCGAUAGCGAACAAGUACAGUGAUGGAAAGAUGAAAAGAACUUUGAAAAGAGAGUGAAAAAGUACGUGAAAUUGUUGAAAGGGAAGGGUUUGAGAUCAGACUUGGUAUUUUGUAUGUCUUGCUUUCGGGUGGGGCCUCUGCAGUUUACUGGGCCAGCAUCGGUUUGGACGGUAGGAUAAUGACAUUGGAAUGUGGCACUACUUCGGUGGUGUGUUAUAGACUU
RNAcentral lists this ribosomal RNA (536 nucleotides) under Scheffersomyces sp. BG090908.5.1.1.2.17. RNAcentral's name for it is "eukaryotic LSU rRNA". It matches the Rfam family "Eukaryotic large subunit ribosomal RNA", at positions 23 to 566 of the family's 3401-position model. Lineage: Eukaryota; Fungi; Ascomycota; Pichiomycetes; Serinales; Debaryomycetaceae. The record is from RNAcentral.